UUUGCCCUUUGUGGUUCACAAACUUCCUUGUGCGAAGCGAAGUGGCUUUUGGAUUCCAGUGAUUCAAGUUUUCGCCAGCUUCAACCUUGUGUUGUCAAUUGUGAUGUCUGUCAAUUUCCUGAAAUUUGAAAAGAGACAUUGGUGACAGUCUUGCUACAUUUUGGCAGUCUGGAUUGAAGCUCC
Molecule: long non-coding RNA, 183 nt
Organism: Rosa rugosa (rugosa rose)
Lineage: Eukaryota; Viridiplantae; Streptophyta; Magnoliopsida; Rosales; Rosaceae
Exons: 3
Source: RefSeq, a predicted model, not a curated record